RNAcentral lists this transfer RNA (72 nucleotides) under Camelus bactrianus (Bactrian camel). It matches the Rfam family "tRNA". Rfam says of the family: Transfer RNA (tRNA) molecules are approximately 80 nucleotides in length. Their secondary structure includes four short double-helical elements and three loops (D, anti-codon, and T loops). Further hydrogen bonds mediate the characteristic L-shaped molecular structure. tRNAs have two regions of fundamental functional importance: the anti-codon, which is responsible for specific mRNA codon recognition, and the 3' end, to which the tRNAs corresponding amino acid is attached (by aminoacyl-tRNA synthetases). tRNAs cope with the degeneracy of the genetic code in two manners: having more than one tRNA (with a specific anti-codon) for a particular amino acid; and 'wobble' base-pairing, i.e. permitting non-standard base-pairing at the 3rd anti-codon position. The record is from Rfam by way of RNAcentral. RNAcentral also lists the same sequence under 2 other names. Lineage: Eukaryota; Metazoa; Chordata; Mammalia; Artiodactyla; Camelidae.
AAGGGUUUAGUUCACUGGUAGAGUGUGUGCCUAUCAUGCAUGAGGUCCUGGGUUCAAUUCCCAGUACCUCCA